This 470-nucleotide ribosomal RNA is filed under the name uncultured bacterium. RNAcentral describes it as "bacterial SSU rRNA". It matches the Rfam family "Bacterial small subunit ribosomal RNA", at positions 28 to 507 of the family's 1533-position model. The record is from RNAcentral.
GAUGAACGCUGGCGGCGUGCUUAACACAUGCAAGUCGAACGAAGAUGCCGGAGUGCUUGCACUUUGGCAGACUGAGUGGCGGACGGGUGAGUAACGCGUGGGUAACCUGCCUUAUACAGGGGGAUAACAGUUGGAAACGACUGCUAAUACCGCAUAAGCGCACGGUAUCGCAUGAUACAGUGUGAAAAACUCCGGUGGUAUAAGAUGGACCCGCGUCUGAUUAGCUUGUUGGUGAGGUAACGGCCCACCAAGGCGACGAUCAGUAGCCGGCCUGAGAGGGUGAACGGCCACAUUGGGACUGAGACACGGCCCAGACUCCUACGGGAGGCAGCAGUGGGGGAUAUUGCACAAUGGGGGAAACCCUGAUGCAGCGACGCCGCGUGGAGGAAGAAGGUCUUCGGGAUUGUAAACUCCUGUUGUUGAGGAAGAUAAUGACGGUACUCAACAAGGAAGUGACGGCUAACUACGUG